This is a non-coding RNA of Cyanistes caeruleus (blue tit), 2540 nucleotides long. The record is from RefSeq and is a predicted model, not a curated record. Lineage: Eukaryota; Metazoa; Chordata; Aves; Passeriformes; Paridae.
GUUUUCACUUCCAAAGACAUCCUUCAGUAAUUUCUGAGAGCUGUCUGAAUCAUGCCAUUUCCCAUGACUCGAGUAUACGUGGGUGAAUAUAUCCAGAGCAAUGACAGAAAAACAGAAUGACUUUCCCACACUGCAGACAGAUAUCACUUUUCCCAGAACAGGCCAAAAUCAGCUUCCAAAAAGACUUGGGAAACCACAUGGAGAAGGGGUACACUUCAGCUGAAGAGCCUGUUGAGCCAGAGGGUGCUGAAGAUCUCAGCUGGUAUCUUUCUACAGUUAAGUAAGAGAAAUGGGUAUCUGAAGAAGGGGCCUUCCCAGUCCCAAGGGAACAUGAUCAAUAGCUCUUCUGUUGUAGUGCAGAAAUGGAUGCCUAGAAAGACUCCAGUGAUUGCCAUGGCAACGAAGAAAAUGUGUGCCAAAACAAGAGAGGUUUUUCACUCUGGAUCAAAGUUUCAUUUGGCUUGAACAGACGUCGCUCCAGUGAGAUCAGUGGUGCAAUGAAGGUGUGGUUGGGAGUGACCAAGUGAGUUGGUUAUCCACUCCUGUAGAUGGGUGGGUUUUUUCAUAAACCCACAUAUGGAAGGCAGGGAUAUCCUGGUCCUGAUGGCUGCAUGUUCUUACCUGGAAUAACUGGAGCCACCAGAGCUGCACCGUGGAGAGCUGAGGCUGCUCUUGCCCAGUGGGGUGUGUUACCAGCAGGCUUGGAGCCACCACAGCCUCACUGAUGCCUUUGUGGCACCUGCAUUGGGGCUCUGUGAUCUGACUGCUCUGAUCUGAUGUCUGGGACACCCAGAUGAGAUAAAUCCCACAUGUGGGGUCUGUUUUAUCAUUGUGUUUCUUCAGUUAAAAUUACUGAAAUACCAAAAGGCAAUAAAUUGUCUUAUAGUAGUAAGAAACUAGUUCCUCUCUGCAUUUCCUUAGGUUUAUGGAGCUGAACUUGCAUUAAUUUCUGUAAAGCAAUUAAUUAAAUUAAUUAACCUUCUGUGAUUUUCAAACUCUAUUUGCUUUAUCAAGUUUUGAAGUGGAGGCCUACUUCAGAUUUCAAAAGACAGAGUUCUGCAUAUGAGCACCCCUCACUGUUUUAGUAUUUCAAGGGAAACAGCAGGUGAAAAAAAUCUAUUUGGGACCUAAGAUAAGGCUGGGGGUUUUAGAAACAUCUUAGUGAUUCAUCUCAUUCACUGGAGCAACAGCAGUGAGAUUUAAUUCAAAAGUGUGAGAGCUGAGAACAGAGUGUGAGGGCGGUCACUUUCUCUUCCUCCUCUCAAUCUCAGGAGUGUCAAUGUUCCAAAUAAAACACUGCCACUCCUCUGAACUUCACACACACCUGCUCAGCCUUACACAAGAGAAAAAAUCAGCUUGGGAAAAAGUGAGGUAAAUGGAAAGUGUGCUGUGCCAAAGGGGACUGUGACUUGCCAGUUGAGGUUCAGGAAAGCACUAAUUCAUGCUCAAUAAUAAAUUGAAUGGAUAAAUACUGUAGGGAGAAAAAUAACUGUGUGAGUACAAGAAAAUAACUGAUGGUCUGCACUCUGCAUGCACAGGCAAGCUGAAACUGGAAGGUUUCCAACAAUAAGAGGACAGUUUCUGUGUCCAGUAUGAGGGGAAGGAAACCAACUGCAGAGGAGUUUUUUGACUAAAUGGAACUUAAUAUAUCCAUGAUGCAGCAGCAAUCACUGGCUCUGGAAAUCAACUGCCAGGGCUGUGUUUCUUUGAAGUAAAACAGCUCUUUUACAAGGAUUUGGGAUAACUAACUGAAAAGCAGGAAAGUUUUACAUAAUGGGACACAAUCUGCCCCCAGCUAUUUUGUAAACAAAACAAAUAGGGGUAAGUGGCUUGUCCUGAUCUCAGUGUUGUGCCAGUGUUUCACCUUGGUGAGAAAGAACUGAUCUUCCCAUGCGAGCCCUGAGGAGUCCCUAAAUUCACUGUACCUAUUUAGAGGAAAAAGAAUCAAAACAAAUAUGGGAACCUCCAUAGCCAUAACUUUAUGGUUAUAUAGUUACUCACUACUGACACCCCCAAGUCUUUCUCCCCAGGAAUAGUGUCAGUCCAUCUUCUGCCCAGCCUGUACCUGUGCAGAACCUUGCACUUGGCUUCCUUCAGAUGCCUGAGGUUGGCCAAGAGGCCCCUUUCAACCUAUGAAAUCCCACUGGGUGGCAUCCCCUCCCUCCACUCAAGCACUUAAAACGUGCCAAUUUAAAGACACUUUAUUUACAAACACACUCCCCUCUGAAAGCCAAUAAGCUUUUGGGAGGGAUUUAGAUGUUUAACUGUAGUUUUAUAACUAAUUGUAAUAGAUGACAGCUAUAUGUGUAUGAUUAAACGCCCAGUAUAAUGGUUAAAUUCUGACAGCGUUCGACAGAAACUCUUGGGGACUAAGCCAUUCUUGCUGUUAUGAUGGGCAAGGCUUGGUUUCAGCGGGUUUAAGGGAAGCCCGUGUCCGGUCUCGGCUGGCCGGGGCUGUCGGUGCGGUGUGAGCUGAGCGGUGUGAGCUGUGUGUGAUCUGUGAGCUGUGAGCUGAGCGGUGUGAGCUGUGAGCUGUGAGC